This 1201-nucleotide long non-coding RNA is filed under the name Apteryx owenii (little spotted kiwi). RNAcentral's name for it is "lncRNA (ENSAOWG00000004982.1)". The record is from RNAcentral. Lineage: Eukaryota; Metazoa; Chordata; Aves; Apterygiformes; Apterygidae.
AAACCACACAAGCUGCCACCAAACCAGGCUUUAUUUAUGGUACAGGGGCUACGGACAGCUACAAAGACAGGAACCAGUCCAAAACACCCGGGCUCGGGAGCAAGGGAAGAGCACAGCUGCAGGGGGGUCGCCCAGAGACACCGCUCCGGCUGGGCUGCGCCCCCCGGGCCGAAACUUCUGCAGGAGUCAGGACAUUUUAAGCCUUUCAUGUGUCAAGAGAUUCACACCCAGGCGGCAGCUCCCCCCGAUACUGCUGGCAGCGAGGGGGGUCCUCGACCAGCGCUCCCAGGAGGUAAGAUGGGUUCAAAGCGGAAGAGUGAACGGGGGCUCAGCCCCGGCGAGGGAGGCCGCGUCCCCACGUACCUGCGCAUACGCUUCUUUCGCCACUAGAGGAAGGAAAACGGAGAGGGAACGGGGUUAGGGUUUCAGCAUUGCGCCUCCGGCAGGCCCCUGCGUGAAGCCCCCACGUGGGGCCCGAGGCCAAGCAGCCCCCCACGGCCCAGGCACCGGCCUUGUCCCUCCGUCCCCCUGCGCCCAGAGACCCCCCACCCUCCUCCCGUAAUAACAGCGGUCUGUACAUCUCCUGACUUCUGGCACUGAGCAACUUUUUAAGCUUUCUCGGUCUUUAAUAUCAAGGGAGCUCCAAGGGCCAAGAACAACAGAUUCAAACAUUACUCCCCGAGGGCCCCUCCCGGAUACAGACCUCCCCGGUGCAUCCAGGGACCCCCCCCUCCACCUCCCCAGUGCACCCAAGGACCCCUGAAAAACCCAGACACACCCCUCUCCCCACCCCGAAUACCCCCCUCCACAACAGCCCCCCACGCCCGUGGGCCCAGGGACCCCCCCCGGCCCCGCGGCUCUCCCGGACACGCCGCCGCCUCCCCACACACGGCGCCGGGCCCAGCCGUUGUUGGGGGGGGGGGGGGGGGAGGGAGGGAGAGGCCCUAUCGCGCCCCCUCCCAGCCUCCGGCCGCCCCCCCGCGCCGCCAUCCGCCGCUCACCUUGGCCCUCAUGGCGGCGCGGGGGCGCCGCGCUCAGUCCCCGCGGGCGGGCGGCGGCGCGGGCGGCAGAUGGAAGCGGAUGGAGGCGGCCACCAAGCGCCCACAAGAUGGCGACGGCCGAGAGAGAGGCUACCACAACCCGCCGGGGCCUAUUUAUAGGGUAGCGCGGGGUGGGCGGGCACGCCACGGGGAAGCCACGC